RNA transcript from Humulus lupulus (European hop), 1651 nucleotides. It is a transcript of the gene named alpha,alpha-trehalose-phosphate synthase [UDP-forming] 1-like, with no coding region annotated. The record is from RefSeq and is a predicted model, not a curated record. The transcript has 7 exons. NCBI's taxonomy places the organism in Eukaryota, Viridiplantae, Streptophyta, Magnoliopsida, Rosales, Cannabaceae.
GGCUGGGUAAAGUUAAAAGGGGAGGGAAACAAAAAAAAAAUGGCACAUGUAAAAGCAUUUUUUUUAGAAAAUGUAAAAGGCAAAGGCUCCGAAAGCUCCUCCGCACCAAUUUUCUCUGAUUCCUCUUCUGCUCCGCCGCAAGAGCAGCUCCGAUUGUCCCUCAGGCGUGGACUAAGGCUCGACGACUAUGGGACGUAGGCAGGGACUAAAGGUUGAUGAUGAUUGGAUGCAGACGGUGCUUUGGUGGUGAGGGCUAGAUCGGUGCAGGUGGUGGUCGACUGUGUCUGUUGCAAAGGUCGGGGACUGACAGGGACUGAAGGGUGACGAAUGGUUUGCUGGUGCUGCACAAUCUCUAGGUGCAGGAGCCAUUCUAGUGAACCCGUGGAACAUCACUGAAGUUUCUAAUGCAAUUGGCCAAGCUUUGGAUAUGGAACCUGAGAAAAGAGAGAAGCGACAUAAUCACAACUUUUUGCAUGUGACUACACACACUGCACAAGAAUGGGCAGAGACUUUUGUGAGUGAACUAAAUGAUACUGUUGUUGAGGCGGAAAUAUGAAUUCGAAAUGCAACACCUGAUUUUCCUAAGAAUGAUGCAAUUAAAGGCUAUUUGCGCUCUAAUAAUUGAUUGCUCAUACUGGUGAAAGGAGGGUGUGAAUUCAUAUAUCUCAGCUUGAAUUGAAAUUGGUCCUUUUCUGCCUUUGAUUCCUCCAUUUUCAGGGACCCCCUGUCCUUUUCUGUUUGAUGAUAUUUGAAAGAAAAUGGUGAUUUGGUUGCUGUUAAAGUGCAAAGGCCCUUUGUUCUUGAGUCUGUAACAGUUGAUUUGUUCGUCAUACAAAAUUUGGGACUGGUUCUUCGCAAGUUUCCCCAAGUAGUUUUCUCAUGUAAUGGAUUUAGUAUUAAUCUGCUCCUUCAAAUACUUGCUUUCAAAGGGGUGAACGUAGUGUUAAUAAAAGAUUUUUUCCUCUCAAUCUCCAUUCUUUCUGUUAAUUCAUUUCAGAUCUCUGUAGAUGUUGUUGGACUGGUUGAUGAAUGGGCAGCCCGUUUCUUUAAGGAGCUAGAUUAUGUUAAUGAGGGUGAAAAUGAAACGUGUUUUGCUGAAAUGAUGAAAAAGGACCUUCCACAGGUUAAUAUUUUGAUCGGUCUUAAAGCAUUGGAUUGGAAGCUAAUUGCAUGAGGUGUAUAAAAAUUUCUUAAAAUGAUAUAUAUUGGUUUGCUAAAGUUACCUGAAUGGAGUAACUGAAUGAGAUAUGAUUGGUCAUUCCCUGAAUAGUUAUUUAUGUUGGUGAUGGUCAUUCAUUUUAUGGUUUUGCUUAUUGGUUUUAUUGAAGAUACGAGACUAUUCUAAGUAUGAAGUUGCUCUUGCUUUUUCUUGGUCUACUCUCCCUAAUAAAUCAGUUUUGUGGAACGUCUUUGCCACUUUUAGUGGCCAGUUCAGACAUUAUACUUGUAUAUUGAGAUGUCUUUCUUUGGAGCAAUGCUGCACAAAGUUUGUGGUUGAAGUUUUUAGAAUCAAAGAAUGUAUUUUACCAACUUUGUAUACAUUUCCUAAAUUGUACUGGUCCUCAAAAAUAUAUUUGUAUAAUUUUAAGGGUGUUUUAAGUAUAUUAAAUGAAGCGGGUUUGAAUUAAAGCAAUAAAAAAUAAUUAUAAUA